RNAcentral lists this ribosomal RNA (558 nucleotides) under uncultured bacterium. RNAcentral's name for it is "bacterial SSU rRNA". It matches the Rfam family "Bacterial small subunit ribosomal RNA", at positions 355 to 896 of the family's 1533-position model. The record is from RNAcentral.
UAGGGAAUCUUCGGCAAUGGACGGAAGUCUGACCGAGCAACGCCGCGUGAGUGAAGAAGGUUUUCGGAUCGUAAAGCUCUGUUGUAAGAGAAGAACGAGUGUGAGAGUGGAAAGUUCACACUGUGACGGUAUCUUACCAGAAAGGGACGGCUAACUACGUGCCAGCAGCCGCGGUAAUACGUAGGUCCCGAGCGUUGUCCGGAUUUAUUGGGCGUAAAGCGAGCGCAGGCGGUUAGAUAAGUCUGAAGUUAAAGGCUGUGGCUUAACCAUAGUAGGCUUUGGAAAACUUUUUNUUAGGUCAAGAGGGGGGNGGGGAAUUCCCAUUUGCAGCGGGGGGGAAAAAUGNGUAGAUAUAGGAGGAACGCCCNCGGGGANAGAGCGGCUCUUUUGCUUGUAAAACUGACGCUGAGGCUCGAAAAGCGUGGGGAGCAAACAGGAUUAGAUACCCUGGUAGUCCACGCUGUAAACGAUGAGUGCUAGGUGUUAGACCCUUUCCGGGGUUUAGUGCCGUAGCUAACGCAUUAAGCACUCCGCCUGGGGAGUACGACCGCAAGGUUG